RNAcentral lists this long non-coding RNA (403 nucleotides) under Vulpes vulpes (red fox). Its description in RNAcentral is "lncRNA (ENSVVUG00000010088.1)". The record is from RNAcentral. Lineage: Eukaryota; Metazoa; Chordata; Mammalia; Carnivora; Canidae.
AGAGAUCUUUAUUAAUUUCCGCGCAGGAUUUCUGUUUCUUCCACGUUCUAGGCUGACGGCCCAGGAGGACGAGCAGUUGCAGAGCGCUGAACAACCUGAGCCAGGUGCUGUUACCCAAGAACAAGUCAUGAUGGAAACAAAAGCAUAAACAUCUGCACUUAGGGGAACAAGUGACCAAAGCCAGAUGCUCCCAGCUCCAGGGGAUUCACGGCAGUGAAUGGUGAACUUGCCCACUGUGCAAACUAUUGACCUGUGGCUGGAUGCUCUGCAUUUGCCAAAAAGAACUGGUUCUGCCCACGGUGCGUCAAUGCUUAAGGUGAUGAGUGGAUGCCUGGCCAGCCUCCAAUCCCAAGGUCUGAAAGCUGCAGCAACUGUAGAAAAGAUACUGGACACUCCUCAGAAA